GACGAACGCUGGCGGCGUGCCUAAUACAUGCAAGUUGAGCGCUGAAGGUUGGUACUUGUACCAACUGGAUGAGCAGCGAACGGGUGAGUAACGCGUGGGGAAUCUGCCUUUGAGCGGGGGACAACAUUUGGAAACGAAUGCUAAUACCGCAUAAAAACUUUAAACACAAGUUUUAAGUUUGAAAGAUGCAAUUGCAUCACUCAAAGAUGAUCCCGCGUUGUAUUAGCUAGUUGGUGAGGUAAAGGCUCACCAAGGCGAUGAUACAUAGCCGAACUGAGAGGGUGAUUGGCCACAUUGGGAAUGAGAAAAGGCCCAAGCUCCUACGGGAGGCAGCAGUAGGGGAUCUUCGGCAAUGGACGAAAGUCUGACCGAGCAACGCCGGGGGAGUGAAGAAGGUUUUCGGGUCGGAAAACUCUGUUGGUAGAGAAGAAAGUUGGUGGGAGUGGAAAGCUCAUCAAGUGACGGUAACUACUCAGAAAGGGACGGCUAACUACGUG
Molecule: ribosomal RNA, 497 nt
Filed under: uncultured bacterium
Lineage: Bacteria
Description: partial 16S ribosomal RNA
Rfam family: Bacterial small subunit ribosomal RNA
Source: RNAcentral